This is an RNA transcript of Vigna radiata var. radiata (mung bean), 2151 nucleotides long. It is a transcript of the gene named asparagine--tRNA ligase, cytoplasmic 1-like, with no coding region annotated. The transcript has 4 exons. NCBI's taxonomy places the organism in Eukaryota, Viridiplantae, Streptophyta, Magnoliopsida, Fabales, Fabaceae. The record is from RefSeq and is a predicted model, not a curated record.
ACCUGCAAAAUAAAAAAGAAAAAAGUUAACAGUAGACACAUCAGAAUUUCACACCCCAAUUUAGGGUUUACCUUUAUUCGCACUUCUUAGUGUGCCACCCAUUUCCUCCUCUACCGCCGUCAGCAGUAAUGGCAGACACAUCUUCUCCUCCAACGGACCAACUCGCAGUCACCACCCUCGACGACGAGGUACCCAAGGCCCAAUUCUCGGAUCGCGUCUCGAUCCGCUCCAUCAUUGCCCGCCCCGACGGCGGCUCUGGCUUGGCCGGCCGGAAGGCGCGUGUCGGUGGCUGGGUCAAGACUGGUCGGAAAGCGGACAAAGACGCCUUCGCCUUCCUCGAAAUUAACGAUGGCAGCUGCGCCGAUAACCUCCAAGUUAUCGUUGAAGCCUCUCUCGGCAAACUCGGUCAACUCGUACCCACUUGAACUUGUGUCGUCAUCGACGGCCACCUCAAGCUUCCUCCAUCCGGCACCAAACAAAAGAUCGAACUUCGCGCCGAUAAGGUCCUCCACGUCGGCCCAGUCGAUCCCACCAAAUAUCCUCUGCCCAAAAUGAGACUCACCCUUGAGUUCCUCAGAGAUUUCGUUCAUCUUCGUUCAAGAACCAACACGGUACCUUCCUUCUUUUUUGUCAUAAACUGUUAUUCUAAAAGUGUUAAUGAAUUUAGUUAUUAUGGCAUAAUCUUACUCUAUCAAGAGGUUUUAUAGUGUUAUCGUGAUUUUGUGACAUAACACGGAUUAUGACUGUAUGAGGGCAAAAACCUUUACUUAAUAUCUCGGUUUGGGAAAUUGUGGACGGAUAUUGUGAGAAAUUGAAGAAAAAAGAGAUCUCAAUUGUUAUAGAUAAACUUAAUUGAUUUGGUUGUUAUUACUUUUCGUAGUUAUACUUAUGUUGUGUUGUGUGUGAUUGCAUAUAUCUGCGGUGGCUAGAAUUAGAAAUGUCUUGCAUAUGCUAUGCAUACUUUUUUCAACAAAGAAGGGUUUCUUUAAGUGCACACACCGAUUGUUACGACGAGUGACUGUGAGGGUGCGGGUGAGAUGUUUCAGGUGACGACUUUGUUGAGUGAGGCUGAGAGAUUGGAGAAGGAGUUGUUGCAGAGAAUUCUCACACUUUUCGUGCGGAGAAUUCUCACACUUCCAGGCAUUUGGCUGAGUUUUGGAUGGUAGAACCUGAGAUAGCGUUUGCAGAGUUGAAGGAUGAUAUGAACUGUGCCGAGGCGUAUGUGAAAUUUUUGUGUCAGUGGUUACUUGACAACUGCCUUGAGGAUAUGGAGUUUAUGGCUGAUAAGUUUGAUAAAGGUUGCAUUGAUCGUUUGAAGUUGGUUGCUUCCACCCCCUUUAUUCGAGUUUCGUAUACAGAAGCAGUGGAAAUACUAGAAGACGCUGUGAAGAAUGGUAAAAAAUUUGAGAAUGAAGUGAAAUGGGGUAUUGACUUAGCAUCUGAGCAUGAAAGAUUCCUGACAGAGGUAAAAUUUCAGAAGCCAGUCAUUGUCUAUAACUAUCCAAAAGAAAUCAAAGCAUUCUACAUGCGGCUCAAUGAUGACUUGAAAACAGUAGCUAUAACUAUAUUGAUGGUUUUUUUGGCAUAAUAGAAGCAUGUAUAAGUAAAUGCAAUUUUUCAAGUGGGAGAGCUAAUUGGUGGAAGCCAAAGAGCAGCAGUAUAUAGGAUAGAGAUUCAAUACUUGAUAAUCUAUCUAUAUAUACAGAGCAACAGUAUAUAGGAUAGAGAUUCAAUACUUGAUAAUCUAUCUAUAUAUACAGAGCAACAGUAUAUAGGAUAGAGAUUCAAUAAAUAAAGAAAAUGGGUUUGCCUCUUGAGCCAUACGAAUGGUACCUUGAUCUGAGGCGGUAUGGAACAGUGAAACAUGCGGGAUUUGGGCUUGGCUUUGAAAGAAUGAUUCUCUUUGCAACGGGCCUGGAAAAUAUUAGAGAUGUGAUCCCCUUUCCACGAUAUCCUGGCAGAGCAGAUCUAUGAUCUUUCUCUUUCUCAUUCUCUUGUUCUAGUAGUUGAGUUGAAAAAUGGUAAUUAUAUAUAGCAUUUUAUUUUUAUUUUUUUUUGUGGUUGCAGACACCACGAGUGAGUGGGUCUUUGAGAUUCCUCUUUUUUGCCGAACUAAUAUAUUUUUAAAGGAUUCUAGGUCUUGAUCUGUUA